This 393-nucleotide ribosomal RNA is filed under the name uncultured bacterium. Its description in RNAcentral is "partial 16S ribosomal RNA". It matches the Rfam family "Bacterial small subunit ribosomal RNA", at positions 523 to 918 of the family's 1533-position model. The record is from RNAcentral.
AUACGGAGGAUGCAAGCGUUAUCCGGAUUUAUUGGGUUUAAAGGGUGCGUAGGCGGUUUGCUAAGCGGGAGGUGAAAUGCCGGCGCUCAACGUCGGAAGUGCCUCCCGAACUGGUGGACUUGAAUGACUCUGCCGUGGGAGGAAUGUGUAGUGUAGCGGUGAAAUGCUUAGAGAUUACACAGAACACCGAUUGCGAAGGCAUCUCACGAAGGGUUGAUUGACGCUGAGGCACGAAAGCGUGGGGAUCAAACAGGAUUAGAUACCCUGGUAGUCCACGCAGUAAACGAUGAUGGCUAACCGCUGGGCUUAUCAGUUCAGUGGCCAAGCGAAGGCGAUAAGCCAUCCACCUGGGGAGUACGACCGCAAGGUCGAAACUCAAAGGAAUUGACGGGG